RNAcentral lists this unclassified non-coding RNA (359 nucleotides) under Hevea brasiliensis (rubber tree). Lineage: Eukaryota; Viridiplantae; Streptophyta; Magnoliopsida; Malpighiales; Euphorbiaceae. The record is from RNAcentral.
AAAUUUUCGCAACUGGAGUUGUCCUCGGUGGUUAUUUGGCCAUUAUGACUGUUAUUUUCUUCUGGGCUGCAUACAAGACCGACUUCUUCCCGCGUGUCUUUAAGGUUGAGAGCCUUGAGAAAACGGCUCAAGAUGACUUCCAAAAGCUUGCAUCUGCAGUCUACCUGCAAGUUAGUACCAUCAGCCAGGCCCUUAUAUUUGUGACACGGUCGCGCAGUUGGUCAUUUGUUGAGAGGCCUGGAUUGUUGCUCGUUGCGGCUUUCAUGGUCGCUCAGCUGAUAGCGACACUUAUAGCUGUGUAUGCGGACUGGGGAUUUGCUGCGAUCAAAGGGAUUGGCUGGGGCUGGGCUGGCAUCGUU